ACCAUUUUGAGUCUUUGAUAAAACUGAGAUUCAAACCUGGAUCCCUUGACUGUGGGGCAGCCGUAAGAACCACCAGGACACCGUGCCGCCACAAUAAUCCAACUGUCUGCUCAACACCCCUGAUUGGUCGCCAUCAGAGCACGUGGUCGCCAGGUUGGACAGCUGCCGGUAUUUCUCGGCCAACUGGAUUCUGCCAUUAUUGAGGCGGGGCCGGCGGGCCAGACUUUCGUCGGCCAGGCUGCGGUUGGACGCCAUCAUCAUCUCCCUGUCCACUUGGAGCUCCUGAAACUGGAAGGUGUGACCUUGAUAACGUACGUUUACGGGUUGGAUUGAGCGCGGCGAAUAAAUGCAAUUCUAGCCAGCAAAAGCGAGGACUUCAUUUAUGCAAAGCCGGAUGUUCUCCCCUGAGGCUUGUAGCCAAUCUAUUGGCACGUCGCAUAAUUAACGCUUUGGGCAAUUACGUAACGGCGCAGUCGGUUUUCAAUACAGUAACAAAAAAAGGGAAGCGGCAAUGAUUCAGUAUCGUGAAUCAUAACAAGCGAAUCACUUUGCAUAAUGCUUCGGUGUCGGGGUAAAUGAAACAAGCGGAAAUCGUCGGAUGAGUUGCAAACUGAACCAAACAAUGUCGCUGGAAUCUUCCUCGCCACCCGGUGUCAAAUCUCGAGUCCUUUUCGUAAGAAAGCCCAAGACUUAACAAACAAGCGACGCUUUUGCUAAGUAAACGCAGCAUGUUGGUGUCAAUUGGAAACACAUCCCCAAAGGUGGGGCAUCUAAUAAAGAUGCUAGAAGAACCAUCAUCCCCUUUAGCAGGUUUUUACAGGGACACUGGGAGCUGCAAAGGAAAUUGAGUGCAUGAUGGAGACUAUGUUCAAGAGGAGCCCCGGACACCCGUCAGGUCACCAGAAAGCAGCAUGUGCCGCAAAGCUGCACGUUCCCUCUGGUCCAGACAAGGAGAAUCUAAAAAGUUCCAACACCGCGUGUUACAUCGGCGUGGCUGCGAUGCAUCCAGACGAGACACAACACCGAUUAACAACAGUUUUGGUCGGAAUGGGAUGAGGUUCCAUGGGCACUUCGGGGUCAUGUCCGAAGGGGGCACAUGCAGCUCCGAAGAUUUCUGUCGAAACUGAACGUAUUGAUGGUUUGAAACAAAGCCGAAUUGUAUAAUAGAGUACAAAA
Syngnathus typhle (broad-nosed pipefish) is the source of this 1176-nucleotide long non-coding RNA. RefSeq lists it as uncharacterized. The record is from RefSeq and is a predicted model, not a curated record. NCBI's taxonomy places the organism in Eukaryota, Metazoa, Chordata, Actinopteri, Syngnathiformes, Syngnathidae. The transcript has 2 exons.